AUUUUCUUCAUUUUUGCAGAUAGAUCAUUGUCCAGCACGUUCUCAGAAUUCGAUCGUCCAGAAACCAUUGACUUUGGGGAUGGACUACGACGUCUGUGAUUAAAAACCGGCUUGUCAACCUAUCGAAAGAUAUUGUAGGUGGCAAAUAAAACAUGCCUGGAAGUGCACUGAAUGACUAACAGUCGACAUUACGUUUGUUUACAAACAGAAAAACGCGAAUCAAAGACACGAGAUGCCCAAUUCGAUGACGUUCCAAACCACAAUGAUGAAGUGAUAGGCAGUAUGUAACGCAGUACACGACGUAUUCUUCAAAUGAUAAACAUGUAGCUAAUGAAGUCAUCUGCGAUUACAUUAUGCAGUAAUGGGUGCGGAGAGAUAAUUGAACUAAUUCGCAGAUCAGUUGCGAGAUACUGCAAACAGGACAUAUAAAGAGGUUUACACCGGUUGAGCCAAUGUUAAGACUUGUCAGUAGUUAUAUGUAUGCGUUUUAAGAAUAAUGUCCACAAAGCGAUUUACAAGAAAAUACGAUCUAGGCUGCGAUUAUGUAUACUUACAAUGAGCCGUUUUAAGGCCUAUAUCACCAAAAUAACAAGCAAAUAUAGAUGGUAGUGUUGAUUCAUUCCAACUCUAUUCGCUUAACGCAGUUUCAAAGUAUUUCUAUUACCAAUGUAUAUUUGAAAAAAUCUGAUGUGCUGGUCUCUCUUUAUCAGCAAACUCUAUUUGAAACUCUCUGAUGAUACAAAA
Long non-coding RNA from Rhopilema esculentum, 744 nucleotides. RefSeq lists it as uncharacterized. The record is from RefSeq and is a predicted model, not a curated record. NCBI's taxonomy places the organism in Eukaryota, Metazoa, Cnidaria, Scyphozoa, Rhizostomeae, Rhizostomatidae.